UCAAUGUGAAGCCGAGGUAAUUAAAACUCUGAGUUCUCUCUACGUCAGAGUUUUGUUACCCGGCUCUAUGUGGA
Molecule: microRNA precursor, 74 nt
Filed under: Branchiostoma floridae (Florida lancelet)
Lineage: Eukaryota; Metazoa; Chordata; Leptocardii; Amphioxiformes; Branchiostomatidae
Description: mir-4872 microRNA precursor family
Rfam family: mir-4872 microRNA precursor family
Source: Rfam by way of RNAcentral